CCUGCCCUGCUGCCGCCGUGCUCCUGGAUUUCCUGGAUGUUUCCGGGCGGGCUUGUCGCCUGCCCGGGGUCAGCUGCCCUCCUGCCUCUGGGUCACCCUGACCACCAAACUUGGAGGGGUCUGUGGUUUAUUUGGGGGUUUUGUGUUCGUUCGGUGGGUUUCGGUUCAUUUCGGGCUGGGUUCGCCUCAGGCCGGAGCUGCCCGUGGUGUGUGGCGGCGGGUCGGGGGGUCCCUCACAGCCCCUGCCCUCAGCGCGGCCGCGGCAAUGGCGCUUUCCCGCCCCGUUUUCCCGCCCGAUUUUCCCGCCCCUGCAAGUCUCGGGCACGGCCGGGAGGUGGCGCUGCGGAGCCGCGCGGGAAGGGCCGGGAAGGGCCGGGAAUAGCUGGGAAUGGCCGGGAAUGCGCUCGGGGACACCCGUGUGUCACCCCCCCCCACGGGUCACGGAGCCUCGUCGCGAACCUCUGGGGUGGGAGAUCCCAAAACCCCCCGUCCUGGAGCUUCGCCUGGAGCUGGGAAGUGCGACCGCAACGCCCUCGCUGUUCCCGGCUGGAAAACGCCUCCACAGCUGCCCACGGACCUGCCAGACCGGAGUGUCCUGGAGCCCUGAGCUGGAGCUGCUGCAGGGGAUCAGAGCACAGAACCAUCCUGUUCCCCAGCAUGGAGACUGGAGAGGAGGGCAUCUGCUGGGACUGACCUGCUGCCAACGCCGCUGGGCCCGCUGCUGCAGGGGCUGCAGGGGGCUGGGUGACACCCGUGCCCACGGUGCCACCUCGCUGUGCUGGAGAGUCAAUCCCUGUGCCAGACCCACCGCCCGGCAGGGCAGGAGUGAUAUUCCCGUCUGCCAUCGGAGCCACACAGAGCCUUUUCCCUUUUCCCUCUCCGCUGCCCAUGAGUGCAACCCAGCAACUGCUGACUGGAACGUUUCUAUUGUGGAGUUUAUGCUAAAUAUGCAUAUCUUAAUUGCAUUAGUCAAAAUAAUUAGCUAAUAUAUUUUUGCAUAAUGACGAGGUAAGCAAAUAUCACCAUAGCUCAGUGCUUCGUGCCUGAGUAAAUUUGGGAAAUUAAUAGACUCCCAAUUUCCUAAUUAUCUGCCUUUUAUUCCAAACUCCAACAACGAAACGCUCCUGUGUUUUGUCAUUUGCUUUGCGCCUUGGAAAUUUUUAAGCACCUGGUUUUCCCUUUUUUCCCCCCGCUUUAACAAGGAAAUGGGAGCCAUCCUUCCUCCCCUUCCCUGUUUUAGGCACUCAGAGUGGAGGAUCACAAAGUCAUGAGCUUCCUGAUUUCCAGACAGAGCUCGAGUAGGAAUUGGAGCAAGGCAUUUUAGACUUAAAAAUAUGCAUUUAGUUGGAAAAGAAUUAAAAAUUAAAUUUAAAGUCUGAAAAGAAUUAAAAAUUAAUUCUUUGGAUGGGAAAAUGGGCAGUGAUGUUUGGGCAUUUAAUCCCUCUGGAGAUGGAUUGUUUUUCCAGGGGUGUUUGCAGAAGUGCAAGGCUGGAAUGUUCCUAAAUCUCUAAAAACCCCCACGUAAUCCUGAAAAUUGCACCAAAAAAAAGGUAUUUAAAGAAAGUGUUUUUUCCAACAACAGUUUUUGUGCAUCUCUAAUUUGCCCGUUUUCCUUUGUUUUCUGGUGAUGCAGGACUCAGAUCUUCUCCUUUCCCUGGAUCAAGAGCCAGAGGUGCUGCUGCCCAGAAGGGAUUCCCCGGGAAUGGGGCCAGUAUCCGGACCAUGGGAUGUGGGCACCCUUGGCACGACACCUGGCUGAAAAGAAUCAGGAGCCCCGUCCUGCCACUAUCCUUUCCUUUCUGCAGCCUCUUCCUGGAUGAGGAUGGAAGCAAGCGCCCAGCUGGAGUGUGCCCAGCUCCAGCCAGGCAGAGGGAGAGCAGGCAAGGCAGGAGCACUUGGGAAAAUGGAUGGAAUGGCUGUCUGCUGCUGCCAGAUGUGUGAGCGAAAGCAGAUGUGACAGAUAAGCUGAGAACACCCGCGUCAGCUCACCCAAGGGCUGGGGGAGCAACUUCCCGACCUGCUGGAGAGAGAGACACCGAGGGCGGCGGGGGGUCAUAAAUCAGAGGCCCCGCUCCCAGCGUGGGGCACGUUCUGCCCAAAAAAGAGAAAAAAGAAAGCCGAGACAUCACCAGUGACCCGACAGAUGCCGGGAGAAGCUCCGGCCGCGGGGCUGCGGAGGAUGAUGGAUGCCGGGAGUGUGAACGGGAGAUGUGAGACACGAGCCCCGCUCCGGGAGAGGCAAAUCUUAUUUGGGAGAAGUUCUUUUAAACAAGCCCGUCCUGCUGCUGGUG
Chiroxiphia lanceolata (lance-tailed manakin) is the source of this 2291-nucleotide RNA transcript. RefSeq lists it as uncharacterized. The transcript is spliced from 6 exons. Lineage: Eukaryota; Metazoa; Chordata; Aves; Passeriformes; Pipridae. The record is from RefSeq and is a predicted model, not a curated record.